Molecule: non-coding RNA, 196 nt
Organism: Puma concolor (puma)
Lineage: Eukaryota; Metazoa; Chordata; Mammalia; Carnivora; Felidae
Source: RefSeq, a predicted model, not a curated record
CGCUUAACCGACUGCGCCACCCAGGCGCCCCGAAAAACUUCUGACUAGCUGGUUUGGAGGAAGGAUUGAAUGAGAAGAAGCUAAAAUCAAGGAAACCAGUCAUUUGAUCAGAAGGUAGGGUAACUAGGUGAACAGCAAUAAAAGUCACUGAAAUGAAAAUACAGAGGAUUGGCAAACUCAGAGGACAGAGAAAAUG